RNAcentral lists this ribosomal RNA (470 nucleotides) under uncultured Neptuniibacter sp. Its description in RNAcentral is "bacterial SSU rRNA". It matches the Rfam family "Bacterial small subunit ribosomal RNA", at positions 439 to 919 of the family's 1533-position model. Lineage: Bacteria; Pseudomonadati; Pseudomonadota; Gammaproteobacteria; Oceanospirillales; Oceanospirillaceae. The record is from RNAcentral.
GUAGUUAAUACCUGCAUCCUGUGACGUUAACUGCAGAAGAAGCACCGGCUAACUCCGUGCCAGCAGCCGCGGUAAUACGGAGGGGCGAGCGUUAAUCGGAAUUACUGGGCGUAAAGCGCGCGUAGGUGGAUUGGUCAGUCAGAUGUGAAAGCCCCGGGCUCAACCUGGGAACUGCACCUGAUACUGCCAGUCUAGAGUACGGUAGAGGGUAGUGGAAUUUCCUGUGUAGCGGUGAAAUGCGUAGAUAUAGGAAGGAACACCAGUGGCGAAGGCGACUACCUGGACCGAUACUGACACUUAGGUGCGAAAGCGUGGGGAGCAAACAGGAUUAGAUACCCUGGUAGUCCACGCCGUAAACGAUGUCUACUAGCCGUUGGGGGACUUGAUCUUUUAGUGGCGCAGCUAACGCGAUAAGUAGACCGCCCUGGGGAGUACGGCCGCAAGGUUAAAACUCAAAUGACUGACGGGGG